UUUGGAAAUCCGCAGUGAAUCAUGUUAUUUAAUUAGUCAUUCCGCUAAAAAUCUUACCUUUGCUUGUAAUUUAUUUUUAUAAAUCAGGUAUUGCAUGGCUGUCUUUAGUUAAUGUCGUAAGAUGAGGUUAAUUCCCAUAAAUUAACGAAACCCCUUUUAGAAUAAAUAUUUCUAAAGAUUAGUGAUAAACUAAUAUAAGGGACUAAGACAAGUCAAUAUGAUCCUAAUGUAAAGGGCUAUAGACGUGAUAUAAAAUUUAAUCCAAUCACUAUUAAAAAUGCAAAUUAAAAGAAUGGUGUAAUGGUUAGAAGAUUGUACAGAUUAAAGUCUGAAAUUUGACUUUAUGAAGUAGGAAUUGCGAGUAAUCACUAAUCAUAACGUAGUGGUGAAUUUUAUCUCCAAGAUGUACUAACUACUCGUCAAGCGUUGAAAGUACAAGUUUCUCGAAGAUUUUAUAAAAAAUGAAAUCGAAAGGUACUGUGCGA
This 485-nucleotide ribosomal RNA is filed under the name Schizosaccharomyces octosporus. RNAcentral's name for it is "SSU rRNA". It matches the Rfam family "Bacterial small subunit ribosomal RNA", at positions 918 to 1474 of the family's 1533-position model. Lineage: Eukaryota; Fungi; Ascomycota; Schizosaccharomycetes; Schizosaccharomycetales; Schizosaccharomycetaceae. The record is from RNAcentral.